This 844-nucleotide ribosomal RNA is filed under the name uncultured bacterium. RNAcentral's name for it is "bacterial SSU rRNA". It matches the Rfam family "Bacterial small subunit ribosomal RNA", at positions 61 to 868 of the family's 1533-position model. The record is from RNAcentral.
GUCGUACGAGUUCUCGUUGAAUCUCGGUGCUUGCACCGAGAUUCAACAUGGAACGAGUGGCGGACGGGUGAGUAACACGUGGGUAACCUGCCCUUAAGUGGGGGAUAACAUUUGGAAACAGAUGCUAAUACCGCAUAGAUCCAAGAACCGCAUGGUUCUUGGCUGAAAGAUGGCGUAAGCUAUCGCUUUUGGAUGGACCCGCGGCGUAUUAGCUAGUUGGUGAGGUAAUGGCUCACCAAGGCGAUGAUACGUAGCCGAACUGAGAGGUUGAUCGGCCACAUUGGGACUGAGACACGGCCCAAACUCCUACGGGAGGCAGCAGUAGGGAAUCUUCCACAAUGGACGCAAGUCUGAUGGAGCAACGCCGCGUGAGUGAAGAAGGCUUUCGGGUCGUAAAACUCUGUUGUUGGAGAAGAAUGGUCGGCAGAGUAACUGUUGUCGGCGUGACGGUAUCCAACCAGAAAGCCACGGCUAACUACGUGCCAGCAGCCGCGGUAAUACGUAGGUGGCAAGCGUUAUCCGGAUUUAUUGGGCGUAAAGCGAGCGCAGGCGGUUUUUUAAGUCUGAUGUGAAAGCCCUCGGCUUAACCGAGGAAGCGCAUCGGAAACUGGGAAACUUGAGUGCAGAAGAGGACAGUGGAACUCCAUGUGUAGCGGUGAAAUGCGUAGAUAUAUGGAAGAACACCAGUGGCGAAGGCGGCUGUCUGGUCUGUAACUGACGCUGAGGCUCGAAAGCAUGGGUAGCGAACAGGAUUAGAUACCCUGGUAGUCCAUGCCGUAAACGAUGAAUGCUAGGUGUUGGAGGGUUUCCGCCCUUCAGUGCCGCAGCUAACGCAUUAAGCAUU